This 1373-nucleotide long non-coding RNA is filed under the name Heterocephalus glaber (naked mole-rat). Its description in RNAcentral is "lncRNA (ENSHGLG00100033153.1)". Lineage: Eukaryota; Metazoa; Chordata; Mammalia; Rodentia; Bathyergidae. The record is from RNAcentral.
UAGGGAAAAACCACGGAGAAGGCCAUCCUGUUGAAACAAGAAAAAAAGGAGGCAGGAUAAUUUUUGCCUCUCAUAACAGAGAAAAGAACCUUGUUACUCUAUUAAGAGGACUAUUUAUAUAUACACUGUCAAUCCCUCAUCAGAUGUCUGAUAAAGAUUCUUAUUUAAAUUAAAAUUUGAAAUAGGUUGAUGGAAAAGGAUGGAGAAAUGUGUUAUAAGGUACUGAGAGAUGGCAGACAUACAGGUUAUAUACAACCUCAUUUCUUCAUCUCCAAUAUUAUGCAAAAGCAGUUUGCAAAUACCAUAGUUCAUUCAUAAAUGGUGCCUUUUAGAAAUCAAAAAAAGGUUUUGAAGAAUAUUAAAGAUUUGAUGGCAAAGAACUACCAAAAUGUUUAAUAAAUCCUCAAUAAAAAACCAUUGAAAAGUUUUUCUUCCCUCUGAAAAAUGAAGGAUAAUCCCAGCACUCAGGAGGCUGAGGCAGACCCUACCAAGGUCUCAAGUCGUGCGGAACACGCCAAAUCAGCCCGCUGCAGACAGACACGCCCUACCGAGGUCCCGAGUUGAGUGGAACACACCGAGUCAGCCUGCGCCCUGGCAACAAUCCACUGGACACCCUCCCGCCGCUCCUCUGUACAGCCACCUGGUUCUACACUACAAAGACGCAGAGGACACCGGACCACCAGACCAUGGUACUGAGUCCCGCAGCUCCCGGCCCAGAGGUAGAGGCUUCUGAGCUGCCACCCCACUGUUUCUGGACCAGAGGAAGGGGCUUCCUGGCCACCAUCCCUCCCGCUGCUCCCAGCCCACAGGAAAGGGCUUUUGGGCCACCAUCCCUACCGCUGCUCCUGGCCCCUGUCCCACCUCUCCCAGCUCAGAGGUAAUCCGUGCAGGUGCCAACAGCACACACCCCCCCCCCCCAGUCGAAAUGAGAAAACACAUAAGUAAGUCUCAAAACCAGACUUCCAGAUCACCUACAGCAACCCCAAAGGGAAAUGAGAUGGAACCCUCUGGUACUCAACCACCUGGACCCACUGAACUGGCAACAAAAGGGGAUCUGGAAAAAAUGAAAUCAGAAAUAAUUUCUCAGAUAACAGGAGAAAUUGUGCCCUUAGUGCAAGACAUGACUAAUAAACCUAGAGAGGAGCUGAGGAACAUGAUGGAAUCCCAACAUAAGAAACAAAUGGAAUCCAUAAAACAGAUGCAAAUAGAUUUCCAGGACAUGAAAAACUCCACUGAAAGUCUACACAGCAGAAUGAGCCAGUGUGAGGACAGAAUUUCAGAUAUAGAAGAUAAGAUUGCAAUUAGUGACCAGGAAAAGAAAAAUUGCUUCAAAAUUAUAAGGGAACAUGAGAAAUCAAUCCAGCAGCUGCUAG